GACGUAGGGCGCGAGCGUUGUCCGGAUUUAUUGGGCGUAAAGAGCUCGUAGGCGGCUUGUCGCGUCAACUGUGAAACCCGUGGCUCAACCAUGUGGUCUGCAGUCGAUACGGGCAGGCUAGAAUUCGGUAGGGGAGACUGGAAUUCCUGGUGUAGCGGUGAAAUGCGCAGAUAUCAGGAGGAACACCGGUGGCGAAGGCGGGUCUCUGGGCCGAUAUUGCGCUGAGGAGCGAAAGCGUGGGAGCGAACAGG
RNAcentral lists this ribosomal RNA (251 nucleotides) under uncultured bacterium. RNAcentral's name for it is "partial 16S ribosomal RNA". It matches the Rfam family "Bacterial small subunit ribosomal RNA", at positions 524 to 776 of the family's 1533-position model. The record is from RNAcentral.